This 254-nucleotide ribosomal RNA is filed under the name uncultured bacterium. RNAcentral's name for it is "partial 16S ribosomal RNA". It matches the Rfam family "Bacterial small subunit ribosomal RNA", at positions 524 to 776 of the family's 1533-position model. The record is from RNAcentral.
UACAUGUGGGGCAAGCGUUGUUCGGAAUCACUGGGCAUAAAGGGUGCGUAGGCGGUGGUGCACGUCCUGGGUGAAAUCCUUCGGCCCAACCGGAGGUCUGCCUGGGAUACGGCAUCACUGGAGUGCGUGAGGGGUGACUGGAACGCGUGGUGUAGCGGUGAAAUGCGUAGAUAUCACGCGGAAGGCCAACGGCGAAGGCAGGUCACUGGCACGCAACUGACGCUGAGUGCACGAAAGCGUGGGGAGCAAACAGG